UGACAUGAGUAACGACAAUGCGAGUGAAAAACUCGCACGCCGAAAGACCAAGGUUUCCUGCGCAACGUUAAUCGACGCAGGGUUAGUCGGUCCCUAAGGCGAGGCAGAAAUGCGUAGUCGAUGGGAAACAGGUUAAUAUUCCUGUACUUCUAGUUACUGCGAUGGAGGGACGGAGAAGGCUAGGCCAGCUUGGCGUUGGUUGUCCAAGUUUAAGGUAGUAGGCAGAGUGCUUAGGUAAAUCCGGGCGCUUAAUGCUGAGAGCUGAUGACGAGCGUUCUUUUAGAACGUGAAGUGGUUGAUGCCAUGCUUCCAGGAAAAGCUUCUAAGCUUCAGGUAACUAGGAACCGUACCCCAAACCGACACAGGUGGUUGGGUAGAGAAUACCAAGGCGCUUGAGAGAACUCGGGUGAAGGAACUAGGCAAAAUGGCACCGUAACUUCGGGAGAAGGUGCGCCGGUGAGGGUGAAGUAUUUACUACGUAAGCCCACGCCGGUCGAAGAUACCAGGCCGCUGCGACUGUUUAUUAAAAACACAGCACUCUGCAAACACGAAAGUGGACGUAUAGGGUGUGACGCCUCCCCGGUGCCGGAAGGUUAAUUGAUGGGGUUAGCGCAAGCGAAGCUCUUGAUCGAAGCCCCGGUAAACGGCGGCCGUAACAAUAACGGUCCUAAGGUAGCGAAAUUCCUUGUCGGGUAAGUUCCGACCUGCACGAAUGGCGUAACGAUGGCGGCGCUGUCUCCACCCGAGACUCAGUGAAAUUGAAAUCGCUGUGAAGAUGCAGUGUAUCCGCGGCUAGACGGAAAGACCCCGUGAACCUUUACUAUAGCUUUGCACUGGACUUUGAAUUUGCUUGUGUAGGAUAGGUGGGAGGCUUUGAAGCGUGGACGCCAGUCCGCGUGGAGCCAAUCUUGAAAUACCACUCUGGCAACUUUGAGGUUCUAACUCUGGUCCGUUAUCCGGAUCGAGGACAGUGUAUGGUGGGUAGUUUGACUGGGGCGGUCUCCUCCUAAAGAGUAACGGAGGAGUACGAAGGUGCGCUCAGACCGGUCGGAAAUCGGUCGUAGAGUAUAAAGGCAAAAGCGCGCUUGACUGCGAGACAGACACGUCGAGCAGGUACGAAAGUAGGUCUUAGUGAUCCGGUGGUUCUGUAUGGAAGGGCCAUCGCUCAACGGAUAAAAGGUACUCCGGGGAUAACAGGCUGAUACCGCCCAAGAGCU
RNAcentral lists this ribosomal RNA (1217 nucleotides) under metagenome. Its description in RNAcentral is "bacterial LSU rRNA". It matches the Rfam family "Bacterial large subunit ribosomal RNA", at positions 1298 to 2500 of the family's 2925-position model. The record is from RNAcentral.